UGCAACUGGUCUUCACUUGUUGUUGCCAUUAAAAGUCGGUGUAUGAUGAUUUACAUUUAUAGCUUAAAAACUCACAGUGCUUACAUUUAUCUUAAGGUCAUUCCAAAAAUUAGCAUGCAUGUGUAACAAAAAUUGGCUUAGAAUGGAAUUUUCAAAGACAUUUGGCACCAUGAAGAUGCCAGUAAAUAUAUUACACGUGAAAAUUGUACAUGUAAAUUAAAGCUAAAUGCAAAAUUUGACUGUGUUAUGUAUUGUUGUUUUUGUUGUCUUUAAAGAUUAUGUGACUGUGUGAUGUGUCCAAAGUAUCAAAUAUAAUGUAAUCUACUUAAAGGAUCAAUACUUGGUCAAUGAGGAUUUCUCUCAUGUUAAGUCAUCAAAAGGUCUUCAACUCCAGUGAAGGACCAAGAAUAUACAUUGUGGGAGACAGCUACAUUCACCGUGGGGAAAAAAGAGCGAGAGAGAUGACUGGGAGAAACCUGGGACUAAAUGCCCUCAUCCAGUGGUUUGGUAGGGGAGGGAUGAUUUGGAGAAACGUCCUCCCCUACUUUGAACAGUGCCUCCAAGGAAGAGCUGUGCCAGACAUCCUCUUGGGUCACUGUGGCGGAAACGAUCUUGGAAAAACCAAGAGUAUCCAUCUUGCCGCAAGAAUAAAGCAGGACUUGCAAGACCUCCACAAGAAGUAUCCAGAGAUGAAAAUAAUAUUCUCUACAAUAACUCAGAGAAACCUGUGGAGGUCUGCACAACCCCAAAAGAUUGAGAAAGCACGGCGCUUCAUUAACAGUGUCAUGGCUUCCGUUAUCUUAUGUAUUGAUGGAGCCAUUGUUCAUCAUCGUCAGAUAAAGCGUAGACAUCCUGGACAUUUUUUGCCUGAUCUAGUUCAUCUGACCCCUUUGGGAAAUGAUAUUUUUUUAAACAAUAUUGUCCAGUGUUUGAAAGACCAAAUCAGGUAGGGUUUGAAGUGUUCUGCUGGAUUUAAACUUUCUAACCAAAGUUGUGACAUAAAAAAUUUCUAGAAAUUUUAAACUUUGUGACGUUUGAUGAACUACAUAUUUUAUUUAUUUAAAAAAAAAAAAUUAAGGGAAGCCAUCACACUGACAUCUGUCACAGCUGUUCCUUUUCAAUACUUUUCUUUGUUCUUCCAAUUUCCCCAUGGUGAAUGUAGCUAAGAUUUUGUAAAUAAAUUUUUACUUGCA
Danio rerio (zebrafish) is the source of this 1193-nucleotide non-coding RNA. Lineage: Eukaryota; Metazoa; Chordata; Actinopteri; Cypriniformes; Danionidae. The record is from RefSeq and is a predicted model, not a curated record.